AUGUGGUAUCUCCGUAGGGGAGUUGUGCUAACAAAAGACAACCUCGCACGACGCAACUGGUCGGGAAGUAAGAAGUGUUGUUUUUGUACUCAUGACGAGACAAUUAAACACCUCUUUUUUCACUGUAAGUUUGCGCGUUCUACGUGGUCAGCCAUCCAAAUAGCGUCAAAUUUGUAUCCGCCCACAAGUGUUGCCAAUAUUUUUGGUCAUUGGCUGGACGGUAUUUCAAAUGCAUACAAAACGCUAAUAAGGGUGGGAGCGUAUGCCUUACUAUGGUCGCUUUGGCUAUGUAGAAAUGAUGUUGUUUUUAAUGACAAAACUGUUUCUCCUUUGCAGGUUAUUUUCCGUUGUACGCACUCGCUUCGUACGUGGUGUACGCUACAACGAGCAGAGUACCAACCGCUAUUCAAGGCGGUGUGUACGCUGUUGGAGCAGGUGGCUACGGAGGUUUUUACCCAACAUGGAUGGCAGCAUAAUCUCCGGCUCGGUCCGCCAUCUCUUUCGACAUAG
Molecule: ribosomal RNA, 510 nt
Filed under: Triticum aestivum (bread wheat)
Lineage: Eukaryota; Viridiplantae; Streptophyta; Magnoliopsida; Poales; Poaceae
Description: partial small subunit ribosomal RNA
Source: RNAcentral